UCCGGUUUGUCACCGGCAGUCUGGCGUGAGUCCCCAACUUAAUGCUGGCAACACGCCACGGGGGUUGCGCUCGUUGCGGGACUUAACCCAACAUCUCACGACACGAGCUGACGACAGCCAUGCAGCACCUGUGGCGCACCCUCGAAGGUCACACGUUCCGUGCGCUUGCAGCGCCAUGUCAAGCCCAGGUAAGGUUCUUCGCGUUGCAUCGAAUUAAAGAACAUGCUCCGCUGCUUGUGCGGGCCCCCGUCAAUUCUUUUGAGUUUCAGUCUUGCGACCGUACUCCCCAGGCGGCGAACUUAACGCGUUAGCUUCGGCACAGACAGAUUCGACUCCGCCCACACCUAGUGUUCAUCGUUUACGGCGUGGACUAC
Molecule: unclassified non-coding RNA, 374 nt
Filed under: uncultured Rubrobacterales bacterium
Lineage: Bacteria; Bacillati; Actinomycetota; Rubrobacteria; Rubrobacterales
Description: contains 16S-23S intergenic spacer region
Source: RNAcentral